Molecule: ribosomal RNA, 340 nt
Filed under: uncultured bacterium
Lineage: Bacteria
Description: bacterial SSU rRNA
Rfam family: Bacterial small subunit ribosomal RNA
Source: RNAcentral
AUUGAACGCUGGCGGCAGGCCUAACACAUGCAAGUCGAGCGGAAACGAGUUAUCUGAACCUUCGGGGAACGAUAACGGCGUCGAGCGGCGGACGGGUGAGUAAUGCCUAGGAAAUUGCCCUGAUGUGGGGGAUAACCAUUGGAAACGAUGGCUAAUACCGCAUGAUGCCUACGGGCCAAAGAGGGGGACCUUCGGGCCUCUCGCGUCAGGAUAUGGCCUAGGUGGAUUAGCUAGUUGUGAGGUAGAGCUCACCAAGGCGACGAUCCCUAGCUGGUCUGAGAGGAUGAUCAGCCACACUGGGAACUGAGACACGGUCCAGACUCCUACGGGAGGCAGCAGU